GAUGAACGCUGGCGGCGUGCCUAAUACAUGCAAGUCGAGCGAACGGACGAGAAGCUUGCUUCUCUGAUGUUAGCGGCGGACGGGUGAGUAACACGUGGAUAACCUACCUAUAAGACUGGGAUAACUUCGGGAAACCGGAGCUAACACCGGAUAAUAUUUUGAACCGGAUGGUUCAAAAGUGAAAGACGGUCUUGCUGUCACUUAUAGAUGGAUCCGCGCUGCAUUAGCUAGUUGGUAAGGUAACGGCUUACCAAGGCAACGAUGCAUAGCCGACCUGAGAGGGUGAUCGGCCACACUGGAACUGAGACACGGUCCAGACUCCUACGGGGGGCAGCAGUAGGGAAUCUUCCGCAAUGGGCGAAAGCCUGACGGAGCAACGCCGCGUGAGUGAUGAAGGUCUUCGGAUCGUAAAACUCUGUUAUUAGGGAAGAACAUAUGUGUAAGUAACUGUGCACAUCUUGACGGUACCUAAUCAGAAAGCCACGGCUAACUACGUG
RNAcentral lists this ribosomal RNA (497 nucleotides) under uncultured bacterium. RNAcentral describes it as "partial 16S ribosomal RNA". It matches the Rfam family "Bacterial small subunit ribosomal RNA", at positions 28 to 507 of the family's 1533-position model. The record is from RNAcentral.